This 68-nucleotide transfer RNA is filed under the name Urodontus glabratus. RNAcentral's name for it is "tRNA-Asp". Lineage: Eukaryota; Metazoa; Arthropoda; Insecta; Coleoptera; Anthribidae. The record is from RNAcentral.
AAAAAUUUAGUUAAACCAUAACGUUAGCUCGUCAAGCUAGAAUUAUUUAAUUAACCUAAUAGUUUUUA